RNAcentral lists this ribosomal RNA (254 nucleotides) under uncultured bacterium. Its description in RNAcentral is "partial 16S ribosomal RNA". It matches the Rfam family "Bacterial small subunit ribosomal RNA", at positions 524 to 776 of the family's 1533-position model. The record is from RNAcentral.
UACGGGGGGGGCAAGCGUUGUUCGGAAUUACUGGGCGUAAAGGGCUCGUAGGCGGCCAACUAAGUCAGACGUGAAAUCCCUCGGCUUAACCGGGGAACUGCGUCUGAUACUGGAUGGCUAGAGUGUGGGAGAGGGAUGCGGAAUUCCAGGUGUAGCGGUGAAAUGCGUAGAUAUCUGGAGGAACACCGGUGGCGAAGGCGGCAUCCUGGACAACGACUGACGCUGAGUGAGCGAAAGCCAGGGGAGCAAACGGG